This 153-nucleotide ribosomal RNA is filed under the name Strongylus edentatus. RNAcentral describes it as "5.8S ribosomal RNA". It matches the Rfam family "5.8S ribosomal RNA". Rfam says of the family: 5.8S ribosomal RNA (5.8S rRNA) is a component of the large subunit of the eukaryotic ribosome. It is transcribed by RNA polymerase I as part of the 45S precursor that also contains 18S and 28S rRNA. Lineage: Eukaryota; Metazoa; Nematoda; Chromadorea; Rhabditida; Strongylidae. The record is from RNAcentral.
CUAGCUUCAGCGAUGGAUCGGUCGAUUCGCGUAUCGAUGAAAAACGCAGCAAGCUGCGUUAUUUACCACGAAUUGCAGACGCUUAGAGUGGUGAAAUUUUGAACGCAUAGCGCCGUUGGGUUUUCCCUUCGGCACGUSUGGUUCAGGGUUGUU